Molecule: ribosomal RNA, 254 nt
Filed under: uncultured bacterium
Lineage: Bacteria
Description: partial 16S ribosomal RNA
Rfam family: Bacterial small subunit ribosomal RNA
Source: RNAcentral
UACGUAGGGUGCAAGCGUUGUCCGGAAUUAUUGGGCGUAAAGAGCUCGUAGGCGGUUCGGUAAGUUGGGUGUGAAACCUCCAGGCUCAACCUGGAGACGCCACCCGAUACUGCUGUGACUAGAGUCCGGUAGGGGAGCGUGGAAUUCCUGGUGUAGCGGUGAAAUGCGCAGAUAUCAGGAGGAACACCGAUGGCGAAGGCAGGUCACUGGGCCGCAACUGACGCUGAGGAGCGAAAGCAUGGGGAGCGAACAGG